CAAACGGCCCUUUUCAGGGCCAACAUAAAAUACACUGACCUACCAU
Molecule: non-coding RNA, 46 nt
Organism: Cyphomyrmex costatus
Lineage: Eukaryota; Metazoa; Arthropoda; Insecta; Hymenoptera; Formicidae
Source: Rfam